Molecule: long non-coding RNA, 1332 nt
Filed under: Oryctolagus cuniculus (rabbit)
Lineage: Eukaryota; Metazoa; Chordata; Mammalia; Lagomorpha; Leporidae
Description: lncRNA (ENSOCUG00000036745.1)
Source: RNAcentral
AUGGAUUUUUUUUUUUUUUUUUUUUUGGCUUAUGUUAAGCUGAUGAAUGCUCUCACGGCCAGGGUCACGGACGAAGCUGUGAAAUGUGUCAGAAAGCGCGAGAUUCAGCCAGUUUCUCCUCUGCUCCUCCAGCGUCAGUACCCGAAAGGAGGGGAGGGUGUGGAGAAUCGGGGUCCUCCAGGGACCCCUGCGCCGAGGAGCAGAGCCCUGCAAAGCCACGCGUACAAUGGCCACUCUCAGCCAAGCGCCAUCACCUUGCGCCCCGGGGUGGGGGGGAGCGGGGAGGGGUCUCCAGGCCCCGACACACACACACACACACACACACACACAUACAACCCGACUCGCGCGCGUCUUGGCUUCCGACCCACGUGGUCUUCCAAGUCGUCCACCGGCACGCUCCGUCUACGCCGCAAGGUGACAGACAGCCUCUCGGCUUCCUAUUUCCCGAACGGCCCCAGGCUCCUCCAUCAGCCUCCAUCACGGCUCCCUACGGGCUGCGGGAGCGCCCCUGGAGACGCCCCGAGAAUGUUCACAGAUGGCAACCGGCUUCUCGCCGCUCCCUCCGACCCUUCGGCCAAGCGCUCGCCGCAGGGGCCACCAUGGCUCCAGGGCACGCGAGCCGCCUGGCCUCCGGGGGGGCAGACGGGAUGCUGGUGGCCGCGACCCCGCCGACACCGCCCCCCGGGGACCAGCUCCCCGCGCACAAACAAGGGGACAGUCCCGCGGCGCGCGUCACCGGGCCACGCCGCCCGCGCCGCCCGGGCAUCCCCGGCUCGGCCGCAGGAAGCGGCGGCGGCGGCGCGGCUCGAGCGGCCUGGAAGCCUCCCCGCGCCGGGGGAAGCGAGGCCGCAGAGCCGAGGCCGGACAAACGGAACGUGCCCGAGAUCCGAGGGGCGGCUCACGCGUCGCCGCUGCGGCCGCCUCCUCCGGGACUCGGCCCGGCGGGGCAACCUCAGCCCCACGCACCGGCUGGAAUCCCCGCACGGCUUCGAGAACCACGCAGGUCCGCGCGGCAGGCGCACUCACCCCCUCCGCUGGCCGGGCCGCUCCGCCGCCGCCGGCUGUCACUGCAGCCCUCUCCCUGCCCCGCGCCGGCUCCGGACGCUAUUUAAGGCGCAGCCGCCGCCGCCGCCGCCGCCGCUCGCCGGCUGCGCCCCCGCUGCUGUCGCGGCCAAGCCAGGCUACUGCUGGCGCGCGUGCCGCGCCCGCCCCGCCCCGCCGCGCAGGUCCCGCCCCGGACACGCCCCCUCGCGCAGGCCCCGCCCCCAGGCCGGACGGCCGCGUGGCUGGCCGGGCACAGGGGGCGGUCCCCGGUGCCGUCGGGUUUCGUAA